This 1201-nucleotide ribosomal RNA is filed under the name Escherichia coli. Its description in RNAcentral is "bacterial SSU rRNA". It matches the Rfam family "Bacterial small subunit ribosomal RNA", at positions 44 to 1228 of the family's 1533-position model. The record is from RNAcentral. Lineage: Bacteria; Pseudomonadati; Pseudomonadota; Gammaproteobacteria; Enterobacterales; Enterobacteriaceae.
AUGCAGCUACCUGCAGUCGUACCAGUAGUAGCGCCGGAAGCUUGCUUCUUUGCUGACGAGUGGCGGACGGGUGAGUAAUGUCUGGGAAACUGCCUGAUGGAGGGGGAUAACUACUGGAAACGGUAGCUAAUACCGCAUAACGUCGCAAGACCAAAGAGGGGGACCUUCGGGCCUCUUGCCAUCGGAUGUGCCCAGAUGGGAUUAGCUAGUAGGUGGGGUAACGGCUCACCUAGGCGACGAUCCCUAGCUGGUCUGAGAGGAUGACCAGCCACACUGGAACUGAGACACGGUCCAGACUACUACGGGAGGCAGCAGUGGGGAAUAUUGCACAAUGGGCGCAAGCCUGAUGCAGCCAUGCCGCGUGUAUGAAGAAGGCCUUCGGGUUGUAAAGUACUUUCAGCGGGGAGGAAGGGAGUAAAGUUAAUACCUUUGCUCAUUGACGUUACCCGCAGAAGAAGCACCGGCUAACUCCGUGCCAGCAGCCGCGGUAAUACGGAGGGUGCAAGCGUUAAUCGGAAUUACUGGGCGUAAAGCGCACGCAGGCGGUUUGUUAAGUCAGAUGUGAAAUCCCCGGGCUCAACCUGGGAACUGCAUCUGAUACUGGCAAGCUUGAGUCUCGUAGAGGGGGGUAGAAUUCCAGGUGUAGCGGUGAAAUGCGUAGAGAUCUGGAGGAAUACCGGUGGCGAAGGCGGCCCCCUGGACGAAGACUGACGCUCAGGUGCGAAAGCGUGGGGAGCAAACAGGAUUAGAUACCCUGGUAGUCCACGCCGUAAACGAUGUCGACUUGGAGGUUGUGCCCUUGAGGCGUGGCUUCCGGAGCUAACGCGUUAAGUCGACCGCCUGGGGAGUACGGCCGCAAGGUUAAAACUCAAAUGAAUUGACGGGGGCCCGCACAAGCGGUGGAGCAUGUGGUUUAAUUCGAUGCAACGCGAAGAACCUUACCUGGUCUUGACAUCCACGGAAGUUUUCAGAGAUGAAAAGGUGCCUUCGGGAACUGUGAGACAGGUGCUGCAUGGCUGUCGUCAGCUCGUGUUGUGAAAUGUUGGGUUAAGUCCCGCAACGAGCGCAACCCUUAUCCUUUGUUGCCAGCGGUCCGGCCGGGAACUCAAAGGAGACUGCCAGUGAUAAACUGGGAGGAAGGUGGGGGAUGACGUCAAGUCAUCCUGGGCCCUUUAGGACCAGGGGUUACACCCGUGGUUAC